RNAcentral lists this ribosomal RNA (434 nucleotides) under uncultured Clostridium sp. Its description in RNAcentral is "partial 16S ribosomal RNA". It matches the Rfam family "Bacterial small subunit ribosomal RNA", at positions 341 to 792 of the family's 1533-position model. The record is from RNAcentral. Lineage: Bacteria; Bacillati; Bacillota; Clostridia; Eubacteriales; Clostridiaceae.
ACGGAAGGCAGCAGUGGGGGAUAUUGCACAAUGGAGGAAACUCUGAUGUAGCAACGCCGCGUGAGGGAAGAAGGAUUUCGGUUUGUAAACCUCUGUCAUUGGUGACGAUAAUGACGGUAGCCAAUGAGGAAGCUCCGGCUAACUACGUGCCAGCAGCCGCGGUAAUACGUAGGGAGCGAGCGUUGUCCGGAAUUACUGGGUGUAAAGGGUGCGUAGGCGGGGGAGCAAGUCAGGCGUGAAAACUAUCGGCUUAACCGGUAGCUUGCGCUUGAAACUGUUUCUCUUGAGUGAAGUAGAGGUAGGCGGAAUUCCCGGUGUAGCGGUGAAAUGCGUAGAGAUCGGGAGGAACACCAGUGGCGAAGGCGGCCUACUGGGCUUUAACUGACGCUGAGGCACGAAAGCAUGGGUAGCAAACAGGAUUAGAUACCCUGGUA